GCCAGGGUAGCUCAAUUGGUAGAGCGGCAGCCACCCACCUACGUGGUCUAGUCUGUGGAUCUCGGUUCAAGUCCGAGUCCUGGCC
RNAcentral lists this transfer RNA (85 nucleotides) under Wood mouse herpesvirus. RNAcentral describes it as "tRNA-OTHER". It matches the Rfam family "tRNA". Rfam says of the family: Transfer RNA (tRNA) molecules are approximately 80 nucleotides in length. Their secondary structure includes four short double-helical elements and three loops (D, anti-codon, and T loops). Lineage: Duplodnaviria; Heunggongvirae; Peploviricota; Herviviricetes; Herpesvirales; Orthoherpesviridae. The record is from RNAcentral.